Molecule: transfer RNA, 85 nt
Filed under: Rhodospirillales bacterium
Lineage: Bacteria; Pseudomonadati; Pseudomonadota; Alphaproteobacteria; Rhodospirillales
Description: tRNA-Leu
Rfam family: tRNA
About the family: Transfer RNA (tRNA) molecules are approximately 80 nucleotides in length. Their secondary structure includes four short double-helical elements and three loops (D, anti-codon, and T loops).
Source: RNAcentral
GCCCGCUUGGCGGAACCGGUAGACGCAACGGACUUAAAAUCCGUUUCCUUCGGGAGUGGGGGUUCGAGUCCCCCAGCGGGCACCA